GCUGCUGUAGCUCAAUCGGUAGAGCGCAUCCUUGGUAAGGAUGAGGUAGACGGUUCAAUCCCGUCCAGCAGCUCCA
This 76-nucleotide transfer RNA is filed under the name Pseudodesulfovibrio mercurii. RNAcentral's name for it is "tRNA-Thr (GGT) (tRNA-Thr-GGT-1-1)". It matches the Rfam family "tRNA". From Rfam's summary of the family: Transfer RNA (tRNA) molecules are approximately 80 nucleotides in length. Their secondary structure includes four short double-helical elements and three loops (D, anti-codon, and T loops). The record is from RNAcentral. Lineage: Bacteria; Pseudomonadati; Thermodesulfobacteriota; Desulfovibrionia; Desulfovibrionales; Desulfovibrionaceae.